GUUUGGUCUCGUUUCUGACAGUAUCUGAGAGUCCAGUCCAAUGCCUAGCUGAUUUCCUUUGCAGGUUAUGUCUCGACUGCCAUGAAUGAGACAGUGUGAAGAACAGAAACCAAUGCAAUGAACAGCCCUGGAAGCCGCCAGCGAUGGCUUGUCUGACAACAGAAAGAGGCAGGUUUCUCUCCUGAGCCUUGCACAGACGAUGCUGGCCCAAAUCCUUCCUGAUAAACAUCAAAUGGAGACAACCAGCUACAAGCAAUUCCUCCAACAACAGAAUAAAUAUUGGCACACCAAGAAAUAAUCUACUGAUGGGAAUAGAGGCCCUGAAAAUCAUCCCACAGUGAGUCAAUCCCAAGUUCAGCAGCAAAUCCUCAUUUUGACAGAAUCAGGAAGAUGUUGAAGAGGAACUCAAUCAGCUACUGAUGACUCCACUGAUUAUGGGCUUUCUCAAGCUGCCUUUAUGAAGAACAGGAAGACAAGAUGGUCGGCUCUUAUCCCUGAAGAGGAACUUGAUCCUGAUGGAAACAUCCUAAUGGAAAAUGUGGGUUGGGAUGGGAGCCCGUGAUGAAGUGGCAGCUUGGCCUCACCACAAGUCAUUCCAGUGACAUGCGUCACAGUGCCUUCCAGCUCCAAAUUUUCAGAAAUAGUUUUGCAUAUGGAAAAAUAUGAGGUGACAUAAAAUGGUAACAAAGGUUCUACAUUUCUAUUGACUCUUCAACCACAUGUCAAUUAGGGCCAAUAUUUAGAACAUACUGGAUCUUCUGAAAGCGUGAGAAAGGAAGGUGCAUUUCCUUGCUCUCCUUGCAAAAUAUACAUAGCUACGCAUUUGAUUUUUAUUGGGAAUGUAAUCAACAGAAUAUUUUAAUAAAAAAUGUGAAAGCAGGCAGAAAAUUUUCAUAUACAACAUAUAUAUAUAAUAUAUAUAUGUAGAAAAUGUACUUUAUUAUCAGCCAUUUCAAUUACCAUGGACUCUAAAUGUUAUGAGUUUAAUUAAAUAAAGAUGAGUUUUAAAAAUAAAGAAAUGUACACAUUCAGCAUUUUAAAAACUAUACUUCUAAAAACUCUUAUUUAUAGAGAUGUCCCUUAACAUGCAAGAUAUAUAAUAAGCACUUAGGAUAGGCUGGCAAUGGCAAAAUAUAUAUUAGUCCUAAGUAACUAAUACAUAUGUACCUAUACAUACUAACUCUCAAAUGAAAUGAUAAAGACUCUAAUUGUAGCAACCAAAAGAUCUUUCCUUGUUUGAAGAUUGAUUGAAGAGAAUCCUGACUUAUGUUUCUGUUUAUAUGAAAAGUAACAAUGAAGAAAGAGAAGCAGAAGAAAAAGUGCAUUCAAAAUGCUAUAGCAAUCAUGAGGCUCUCACCUUGCAGUUAAAAAAACUCCAGCAAAGUUGAGCUUAUUAAGGGACAAAAUGGAAAAUUUGAUGACAGGUCUGAAACUCAGAGAAUUACAAAGCUAAUUCGUGCCGUAACUUGAACAGUUUUCUGGAUGCAAGCACAUGUGAUUUCUACUACAACCACAGCUGCUGGGAAGGGAAGAAAGACAUUUGUUGAGUGCCGACAAUGUGUCAGGUAUAAAGCUGCAUCAUUUAAUGCUCAUUCUGAAUGUUAGACAGAUUAUCUCCUCAAUAUCACAGAGGUUAAAUCAGACGUUGGCUAACUACAGCUGAGCAGCAAAAUUCAGCCAACCACCUGUUUUUGCAAAUUAAGUUUUAUUGGCCCUCAGCCAUCCUCAUUCAUUUACAUAUUGUCUCUGACUGCUUUCACUAUGUGGCAGUGGAGUUGAGUAUUUGAGACAAGACAGUGCAGCCCCCAAAACCUAAAGUAUUUAUUUAAUCUGGACUUGUACUGAAAAGCUGUUUAAUCAUGGGUGAAAUGAAUCCUUUGGAGACAGAAGACAUCUUUUCCAUUGGAAUAAAAAGCACGAAUUUGGUAGACUUAAUUCCAACCUAAAAAUGCUCAGAACAGGAAUACCAACUGAUUAAUUUUUUAAAAGUACAAUGAAAUAAUGUAUGAUCAUUAAAUUAUAUCACUGAUUUUCUUUUCUUUUUUAUUUUUAAUUGAAAGUAAAAAUUGUAUAUAUGGUGUACAACAUGUUCUAACAGAUACAUACAUUGUGGAAUGGCUAAAUCAAGCCAUGUAACAUAUGCUUUACCUGGCAUAAGUAUUAUUUGUUUGUGAUGAGAAUGUUUAAAAUCUAAUCUCUUAGCAAUUUUCAAGUAUACAAUAUAUUUUUAUUAGCUGUAAUCACCAUGUUGUACAAUAGAUCUCUUGAACUUCUUCCUCCUGUCUAACUAAAACAUUGUACCCUUUGACUCACAUCUCUCCAGUCUCCCUGCCCCUCUCCCCACAGACCCUGGUAACUAUCAUUUUACUCUCUGCUUCGAUGAGUUCAACUUUCUUAUUUUUUUUGAGACAGAGUCCUGCUCUGUCACCCAGGCUGGAGUGCAGUGGCACAAUCUUGGCUCACUGCAACCUCCGCCUGCUGGGUUCAAUCGAUUCUCCUGCCUCAGCCUCCUGAGUAGCUGGGACUACAGGUGUGUGCCACCACGCGUGGCUAAUUUUUUGUAUUUUUAGUAGAGACGGGGUUUCACCAUAUUGGCCAGGCUGGUCUCGAACUUCUGACCUCGUGAUGUGCCUGCCUCGGCCUCACAAAGUGCUGGGAUUACAGGCAUGAGCCACCAUACCGGUCAAGUUCAACUUUCUAAAAUUCCACAUAUAAGUGAGAUUAUACAAUAUUUGUCCUUGUGUGUCUUGCUUUUUCAUUGAACAUAUUAUCUUCCAGGUUCAUUCAUGUUACAAAUGAUAGAAUUUCCUUCUUUUUAAGGAUAAAUAGUAUUCCAUUAUAUAUGUACGUACUACAUUUUCUUUCUCCAUUUAUUCAUUGAUGGACAUUUAGGUCGAUUCAAUAUCUUGUCUGAUCUGAAUAAUGCUGCGAUGAAUGUGGAAAUGCAGAUAUCUCUUUGACAUACAAAAAACCACUGAUCUCCUUGGAUAGCUCAAAAACUGACUGAAGACAAUUCAAGAAAAGAGUUCUAAAAAUAUUUUGAGCAGGCCAGGCGAGGUGGCUCACAUCUGUA
This is a long non-coding RNA of Homo sapiens (human), 3073 nucleotides long. NCBI's taxonomy places the organism in Eukaryota, Metazoa, Chordata, Mammalia, Primates, Hominidae. The record is from Ensembl.